Long non-coding RNA from Sycon ciliatum, 772 nucleotides. RefSeq lists it as uncharacterized. The transcript has 2 exons. NCBI's taxonomy places the organism in Eukaryota, Metazoa, Porifera, Calcarea, Leucosolenida, Sycettidae. The record is from RefSeq and is a predicted model, not a curated record.
AUCCAUCUGGGCACGGCCGGGCGUAGAUUCCGCACGCUCGGUUCGAGUUCGAGAUGUCGUCGGUGAUGGACACACCUUGUAUUUGUAAUCGCACGCAGAUGCGAAUAAUUAUUAUUUACGUCCCCUAACAUUUUUAUAAUAAUUGCUAUCAAAAAGAAACUUUCUCUUGGAUAAUUUCAGAUUGUAGAAUACCUUUCAAGGCCUUUGUGGCAAUGAAGCUGUCCGGACGCUAGUGUGUUUGGCCGGUAUUUGAAUUAUCGAGAAGGAUGUCGCGUCCGAGGCGGGGGCGCAAGCCGCUACUCUCCCGGAGUUUUAGCCGCUUCCUCGCCGAAAGUGGCUAUCCGGCGCGAUGGCGCAGAACAGCGUCAAAUACAAACUGGAAAUGCUGUUGGUAACACUGCCGCAGGCCGUCUUGCAGAGAGAUAUUAGCACGGUUGAGCUGAUGCACUCAGUCUCAGGUCCAGCCACUGCCCCGCCUAGUAAAGGAGACUUCAUCUUCGCCUUCUGUCUGGAACGCGCGGCUGCCACCUUAUUUCGGCUGCGGCGUCUCCCUAUUCUCUCUUGGUUUUUCACCUCUUGUUCGUUUUGGCGUAGGGCGAUCUCCUGCAUAGAUAUAUACGUAAGCAUGGGAAGAAGUACAAAUUAGCAAGCGCUUUAUACCAUUAUCAUUGUGACAUGAACUGCACAUCAUUACCAUCCGUUUCUAUUGCCAAUGUCACCUUCCCAAAAAUGCAUAUACCCUAUUUCCCCGAAUAUAAGUCGCACCUUUUUA